Molecule: ribosomal RNA, 450 nt
Filed under: Winthemia sp. tricolorDHJ01
Lineage: Eukaryota; Metazoa; Arthropoda; Insecta; Diptera; Tachinidae
Description: eukaryotic LSU rRNA
Rfam family: Bacterial large subunit ribosomal RNA (bases 1-92)
Source: RNAcentral
UAAAUAUAACCAUGAGANCGAUAGUAAACAAGUACCGUGAGGGAAAGUUGAAAAGAACUCUGAAUAGAGAGUUAAAUAGUACGUGAAACUGCUUAGAGGUUAAGCCCGAUGAACCUGAAUAUCCAUUAUAGAAAAUUCAUCAUUAUGAUUUUAAUAUUUAUAAUAUUAUAAUAAUGUUGUGCACUUUUUCUAUAUAGGACAUUGUAAUCUAUUAACAUAAAAAUUAAAUUUAUCAUAAGAUCAAGUAUGCGUAAGUUUAUUCAAAUUAUUUUGCUUGCAAUUUAACAUAGAAUAAAUGCUCUUGAUUUGAUAAAGUGUUGAUAGAUUUAUUACAUAUAGUGCUUAAAUAUUUAUAUUUUAUAGUAGCAUAUUAAUUUUUAAUUUUUAUGUUUACUAUAUGCACUUAUAUGAUUAACAAUGCGAAAGAUUCAGGAUACCUUCGGGACCCGU